RNAcentral lists this ribosomal RNA (497 nucleotides) under uncultured bacterium. RNAcentral describes it as "partial 16S ribosomal RNA". It matches the Rfam family "Bacterial small subunit ribosomal RNA", at positions 28 to 507 of the family's 1533-position model. The record is from RNAcentral.
GAUGAACGCUGGCGGCGUGCCUAAUACAUGCAAGUCGAGCGAACAGACGAGGAGCUUGCUCCUCUGACGUUAGCGGCGGACGGGUGAGUAACACGUGUAUAACCUACCUAUAAGACUGGGAUAACUUCGGGAAACCGGAGCUAAUACCGGAUAAUAUAUUGAACCGCAUGGUUCAAUAGUGAAAGACGGUUUUGCUGUCACUUAUAGAUGGAUCCGCGCCGCAUUAGCUAGUUGGUAAGGUAACGGCUUACCAAGGCAACGAUGCGUAGCCGACCUGAGAGGGUGAUCGGCCACACUGGAACUGAGACACGGUCCAGACUCCUACGGGAGGCAGCAGUAGGGAAUAUUCCGCAAUGGGCGAAAGCCUGACGGAGCAAAGCCGCGUGAGUGAUGAAGGUCUUCGGAUCGUAAAACUCUGUUAUUAGGGAAGAAAAAAUGUGUAAGUAAAUAUGCACGUAUUGACGGUACCUAAUCAGAAAGCCACGGCUAACUACGUG